UUCGCAAUGCCCGAAAGGGUGACGAAGCGACGCCGCGUGUGGGAAGAAGGCCUUCGGGUUGUAAACCACUGUCGGGAGUUAAGAAAUGCAAGGAUAUGAGUAGUGUCUUUGCUUGACUAAGGCUCCGGAGGAAGCCACGGCUAACUCUGUGCCAGCAGCCGCGGUAAUACAGAGGCGGCAAGCGUUGUUCGGAAUUAUUGGGCGUAAAGAGCACGUAGGCGGCUAUAUAAGUCGGUUGUGAAAGCCUUCCGCUCAACGGGAGAACAGCAUCCGAUACUGUAUGGCUUGAGUGUGGGAGGGGAGAGCGGAACUUCUGGUGGAGCGGUGAAAUGCGUAGAUAUCAGAAGGAACGCCGGCGGCGAAAGCGGCUCUCUGGCCCAUAACUGACGCUGAGUGUGCGAAAGCUAGGGGAGCAAACGGGAUUAGAUACCCCGGUAGUCCUAGCCGUAAACGAUGGGCACUAAGUAGAGGGGUUUU
This 477-nucleotide ribosomal RNA is filed under the name uncultured bacterium. RNAcentral's name for it is "bacterial SSU rRNA". It matches the Rfam family "Bacterial small subunit ribosomal RNA", at positions 365 to 832 of the family's 1533-position model. The record is from RNAcentral.